RNAcentral lists this long non-coding RNA (7234 nucleotides) under Coffea arabica (coffee). RNAcentral describes it as "long non-coding RNA (CARA_LNC003585)". Lineage: Eukaryota; Viridiplantae; Streptophyta; Magnoliopsida; Gentianales; Rubiaceae. The record is from RNAcentral.
AAAAGAGUACGUUGCAUUGUAAUUUAUUUUACUGAGUUGUUGAAUCCCAUCAACCUGUGGUUUUGGCGCUGGCGAUUCGAAUAUUUCAAAGAUAAGGUUCCAAGCUAUUGGAGUAGGCUCCCACGUCGAAGGUUGGGUGUUAAACCUUACAGUACUGCCAAAAUUCCCCGGCCAACCAUUGUAGCGAACUUGUUGGCCAGCGUUGUUUAGAUACAAGAGGAGGCCAUCAUCUCCAAGCACUAAGCUGUACUUUCCAUCGGAGCCAUCAACAUCAGAAGUUCGACUGACAAGCUUGUUUACGCCACUCUCGCGAAGGGACUGCCCAACUAGUAACGAAUCAACUGGAUAAUCAAAGCUUUGCCAAAUGAACUUUCCCUUUGUAUCAUACAGCACAAGGUUGCCAUUCUGGAGUAAUUUGAUGCCCGUGACACCCUUGUUAGCAGUGUUGGUUUGCCACACUAGGCUGCCGUCAGAGUCGGCUAGGACCAGGUUUCCAUCCCGGCCGAAAGAAAGGGUGGCGUUUUCUUUCACGGGGUGGUUGCGGUUGGCAUCCCAAACCCACCGCAUUAGGCCCUCGUCAUCUGGGAUGCCAACACGAAUGCCAAGCACGAAAGAAGCUGGGGUGGUGUUGUAGAAACACAGUCUGAAGGGGAAUGUGUAGAAAUCAUAGACAUCAUUGGUUAUGAUGCGAUAAGUUGCCCCAUAUUCAGCUGUGGGUACGAAAUUUUGGAAUUCUCCCAGUGGACCUGUGUUGACAAUUUUGAAGGUAUUGUUUGUUGGCACUUGAGCUCUGGUGCUAAUGGCCAAGAAACAGAGGAGGAGGAGAAUGCUAAGACAGGGUGAAAAUGGAAAGGUACGACGAGCCAUUGGAAUUCUUUUUGUGCAAUAAGGAAUAAAGGGCAAGCUAAUCAGUUGGAAAUGGAAUGAGAGAUAUGAAGUGGGUUGUAACCAUUUGGUAUUUAUAGAUUUUUUUUAUUGGCUUUUCUCAGGGAGUUGGUUUGUGGAUAGGAAAAUCAACUCGACGGUUUUUCUAGUUUUUCUGCAUACAAUUGUUGAAAUUUGAAAACUGAUUAAAAAAAUAUUGAAAUUUGAAAUUUGAAUUUCAACGUCAAAGUUGGUAACCUGCAAACAAGAUUGAGCAUCCAUCUAGUAACAUAGUAUUAUAUAAUUUUGUUCUAUGUCGUAGUGGUUGUCAAAUGAUUAUAUAAUGUACAACACAAUUUUUUAUAAGGGAAAACGAAACAAAUAAUCCCUUACAUAUUACUUAUUUAACCAUUCACUUACAUAAAAAUGCAAAUUCAUACUUUAAAUAUAUAAGGGAUAAUUUCAGAAACCUCCCCUGAGGUUUCUAAUAAUUUCACAAAGCUCCCCUUAAUAUUUCAAAAUUACACAUACCUCCCCUAUUGCUGUAAAAGUACUCUACUACCCCUAUAUAGGAUACUUAAUGACUUUUUCUUUUUGGAAAUUUCAGAAAUUUCAAGAAAAACUAAAAUUGACUUAUCUCUCUCUCUCUCUCUCUCUCUCUCUCUCUCUCUCUCUCUCUCUCUCUCUCUCUCUCUCUCUCUCUUUUCUACCUUAAUGUGUCUUCCAUUUCCUUUUUUGCUAAAUUCCUACCACUCAUUCCUCUCUACCUAAUAUUUUUCCUCCAAUUCAUGACCAAAUUCUAUCUAUUAUCCCUUGCCCAUAUUUAUCCCCCUCAUUGCCUUCUUCUUCUUCUUCUUCUAUCUCUAUUCAAUCUCUUUUUUGCAAAUAUGAUCAAGUUCAUCCUUUUUAUCCUUUUAAUUCUAAGUGUAAUGGGUUUGAUUUUUUUGAGUCUAUUUAUUUUAUCCAAUGUUGGUUGAUUAUGGGUGAUAAAACUUAGUGAUGUCAAAAGUCAAGAAUUUGAGGGAUGGAUGUGCUUUAGAAAUGGGUUGUUGAAAAAAAAAAGAGGCUGCAAAAAGAGAAAGACGAAAGAUCUGUGCUAUUGAUUGUGGAUGAAGUGUUAGUUUUGGGUAAAAGUUUGAGAUUGAGUUUUAUCCAAUUUAGCACCAAGUGACGGAUUUAAUUAAAUUGUGUAGUAAAUGUAGGGGUUGGGGUUAUUGGACAUAAAUUAGGUUAUAGUGUUUUGAGUGCUAGAAUUAUUGAAAUUUAUUUUGAUUUAAAUUGGGGUGUUUGCUUGGCUUUUGGGGUGGAGUUGUUUGGAAGAAGGCAAUCAUCAUAGUUGAAUUUUUUUCCUAACUUUUAUUUUUGGUAGAAAGAGUUUGUUGGCUUUGGUGUUGGAAGAAAAGCAAUCAACAAAGCUCUUUUAUUUUUCCUUUUUAUCUUUUUGACAAAAAGGAUAGUUUAGGAUAUUUGAAGGAAUUGGUAGCCUAUUGGACCUAUUUUGAAGCAUAAAUAGUGAAAGCAAGGGAGGUGUGUGUAAUUUUUGAAACCUAAGGGGAGCUUCUUGAAAUUGUUAGAGACCUCAAGGGAGGUUUCUGAAAUUAUCCCAAUAUAUAAAUUGCAUCAUGUUUGUCUGAAAAUUCAUUUUAGGAGAUUUUUUUUUUACCUGAAAACGCCAUGUGGCUACCAAAUGAUAAUAUUUCAAAGAUAAAAAAGACAUUACAUACUCAUGAUUUAUCCAUUUUUUUUCUUUUUUUUCCUCCUCUGUUUUUGCUUCACCAACAUUCAAACAGCAAAUCCUAGAUCCGCCACCAUAGUCCGCAAUUUCCAGAUAACAAACACUAUCAAAUAUUGUUUAAUAUCCAGAAAUCUCAGUUUUUAUUAUAGUGUCAUUUUUCUUUCACAAACAUCUUAUUCUACUUCUUUUUUAUUUCCUUAAGUUCCAAUAACUACUAACAUUGUAAAACACAAAUUUAAACAUACCAAAAAAAAAUAUCACUAAAAAAAUGAGAUUUUUAUGAAUUUUUUGUUGUACUUUUUGUUUUUCUAUUAUAUUAUACUUUUUUAAUAUGUUGAAUUUUGUGUUUUACCCUUUAGUAGUCAUUGAAACUUUAGGAAAUAAAAUAAAAUAUUUGUAAAGGAGGAAUGACAAAAUAAUUAAAGAUGUGACAUACGAUAAGAGAGGUAGGAUACAGUGGGUCAUAAUAUGCAAAAAAAUGGCAAGUAUUAAGCUACUAAAAAUAAAUGGUAGAAAGAGAAAGUCCACUUUUGGAAGUUUGAAGUCAAUAUAGCAGCUGAGUCGGAAAAAAAAAAAAAAAAAGUCAAUAUAGCAGCCUGUAGAUGUGCUGUAAUCCCCUUAGAACCGGGCUCCGUGUCGUCUUCACCCUUCACUAAUUAGCAACUUGGGCACAUUGCAGACAAAUCUUUCCUCUUUGCCUUUGGGGUUAGAAGAUGGGAAAACACGUCUGCUUCUUCUAUACUUCUGGGCUGUAACGCAGCAGCAUUUAGCAACUGUAAUGAAGUUAAUAAAGUUUAACAAAAGGAUAACAUCAAGGUUUUAGACAAAUUAUCCUAGAUUCAAACCUUCCAGUUGCCUUAACCAUAAAGGACUUUUACAUCUUUGGCUCCCGGUUUGAGUGCGCUAGGCUCAAAGAUUGGCGAAGAACGUUUGGCACGGUUAAAUUGAAAACCAGCAUUAAAUGCUGACAGUCCAUUUUGUAUCCAUUCCAUUUUUUUUUGUUGGAUCCAUUUUGGUUCGCUUUUGCAUGGGUGCAAUCUGUAGCUAUAGAUGCUGAUGCAGAUCAGCAGAUGGAUGCUUCCAGUUCCAUAUUGGAUGAAUUGUGAUCAAAGUAUUAAUAUAUCCUUAUGGCUUUGUUUCAUGUUUACCUGCUUGGCAAUGAGAAAAGCCAUGCACGGCUUUCUUUAUUUGUUGAGAGAUUGAUCACAUCAAAACCAAGAGAUUGAUCACCUCAAACCGCGCAUGAUUUUUAAUUUAUCAAGUCAGUCAGGAAUUGUGUGGUAGCUUUGUGGGCUGGGAAAGUGGGAAUGCGCCAGAAUUUGAAGAUUGGUUGUGGUCCUGUGGAGUGGACCUGCGCGCAUCGCUAGCUUUGAGUGAUUGGAAAAGGCGGGCGAAUGGAUAAAUAUUGAAUACAUGCAUGCAUGCUAUAAAGUCAUUAGCAAUCAAUGUCAAAUAGUCCUUGCAGAAGACUUGUGGGUUCCUCUCUGAUGUCUUGGACCAUUUCGAUAUGUGUUCUUUGAACAUAAUUGUGUGCUUAUCAUUAAUGGCAUGUAUAAUCUUUCUUUCCUGUCUCUUUUUGUUCUGCGCGCAAGAAUGAUCAACGUCGACAAGUUUGCUUGCGGUUGGUUGUUAGAUGCACGAUUUUGAUUUACUUAUUUAUUUUUGGUAAAUAAAAGUUUGAUUUUAAAGGAGAGGAACAUAGUUCAGGCUAAGGCUCUGUUUGGUAUGAUGUAAAGUAUUUUCCUUAAGAAAAUAUUUUCCAUGGAAGUUAUUUUCUGGGAAAAUAUUCACAUUUUUCAAUAUUUUCUGAUGUUUGGUUGAAAUUUUUAACUACAUUUUUAUUAUCAAAAUUCAACUCCUUCCGCCGCCCGCUUUUCUCUUUCAUCACUGGAAACCGAUCUUCCAAGUUCCUAUCACUAAAAAUAGCAGAACCGCUCAAAAUGGAAGAAUCCAGGUCAAGCAUAAGGACAAUUCAUUGACUCGUAAUUAUUGGCGCCAUAAAAGACAUUACCAAGCUAGACAUAUCAAGACCAUGAAAUGACCGGUGAUUAAGGUCAAUCAAUGAAAGUGAAAGAACAGGCAUAAAUAUCUUCUCAAGUUGAAGAAAUAGGCUCUGUUCUUUUUCGUAUGAUUAGUGCUCUUAUUGACUCGUAUAUGAAAUUUGGUUUAAGGAUCAUAUACCAGCGAUCAAACCACAACCUCAAAGGCAUUAAAACCAAGACAAAUUUGAGCUAAAGAUAUGUAAUUUUGAUUAAGAAAACACUGCAAAGAAAAUUAAAAUGACUGAAGAAAGGCAAUGAGAAUUGAUAAUAAUCCAAAUUGUUAACAAAUUCGUAGUGUUUGCGUCACCGGUAAAUUCAUCAGCAUCAAAGACACGAUGUCAAAGAGAUCGGAGUCAGUAGGGUGAGGCCUUUUUUUUAUUUUGAAUAUACUACAAGCUUUGAAAGUUUAUCAAAUACCUUUAAUAAGCGGGAUGCAUGCAUUUAUAAAAACAAUUUCGGUAAGUCCGGAAGGGAAGUUAUUUUCCACAAGAUAAGCAAAAAUCUUUUACACAGUAAAAUAUUUUCAUUAGUUUUUGUGCAACCAAACACGGAAAAUUAGGAAAAUAUUUUCACUUGAAACAAAUGGACCCGAAAUGAUACUCAUAUACAAUUUUUGUUUAAAACCUUUUUGGAUGAAUCAAUGGGUAUGAAAAGCCGAAUCUGAGGGUUUCAUCAUUAGCUAUUUUGCUAGUUAUUCAACUUGAUUAUCCCUUUAUCCUAAUUUUUUUAUGAAACAAAAUCAAAACAGAAGCAAAAAAAAAUUAGUAAAUAAAUUAAAGGGACACGUAUCUCUCUCACCACCUUCUGUUCCCCUUCCCUUUGUCCCCUCAAAAUCGCCUCAAAGCUAUGUACCUAGUCCGUCUCUAUAUGGGUUAAGCCGGCUUCACUUUAAAUGGAUUUGUGGCCACACAAGUUUCAUUUCAUUCCAUUUCGGAAUAAAAUGAUCUUUUUUAACUUUUGUUAUAGAACCAUAUUUUAAUGCAAUCGGAUCAUAUCUAAUCUUUAAUUAUAUUAUCUUUCCAGCUAAAGGAUAAACUUGUGAGAAAUAGAAUUUGUGAGAGGACUCGUCGUUUAAUUAAAUUUGGCAAGACCAACUUGUGCAGUGAUAUUUGGGAGGAUGAUCCAAGAAAGAGAAUAUAUUAUUAAAGAUAUUUCUAUGAAAGAUACGUUAGGAGAGGCAAGUGUUACCUUUACACAAAAUGAAGUCCCAGAUUUUAAAAAAUUGCUCAGCAAAAACGAACUAAAAUAUUCAUAAACAUGCAAGAUAAUGUAAGUUUGCAGAAAAUUAUAAAGGAAAAGAUGUUUUUUUGUCAGCUUUAAUUGAGAAAAAUAAGAAUAUCAUAUGUAGGAAGAGCUACAAUGCUCGAUUCUAUUAGACAAGCAUUAUUGAUCUAGAAAAUGCUGGACAAGACAUAAAAGUAGGCAUGGGUGCAUUCCGGCUCAAUCUAUCAAAAGGGCCCUCACAGAACAAGGAAAGAAAAAGCAAAAUACCAAUCUGGGCAGCUUGGAUUUAUUGCAAACAGGAUACAAGGCUUACGAUCAAACCAGAGGAGCCAUAAUCAAUACAAUAUUGCAGAAGCUCAACACGAAGCUUCUUUACUCGGUGCAUAAAACUCUCAAAUCAUACUUAAUGCUAUGCUCACAAUUACCCAAACCAAGUUUUAACUUUUAACAGUUUUAUUUUUUUUUUCCUCUUAAGUUAAGGAUUUCCACAAAAUCAAUACUUGACAUAUGCACUAGUGGUGUUGACAUCUUUGGCGAGAGUCAAAAGCACCGGCAUAAGCAAGCACUUCGAAGUGUCUUGCUUGUAGACAAAUCCCUUGCAAUUGCAAUCAUUGGUGCACUUGUCUCUGCAUGCUCCAAAUUCCAUUUCGACUUCUUGACUAUCAGAAGACCACUGGUGGUUCAAGAAGGAUUGCACCCCAUCAAGCUUGAAAUAUUUUGCCUUUGGUUUCUUCCCACACGAGCCCAACUUUGGUGGUUGACAAUUUUCUGUCCAUCCCAAGAGCCCUUUUGGUGUAGGACAUGCCACACACAUCCCAUUUUGGCACAAUCCAAAAUUACCACAUUUUGUCGGCAAAGCACAUGCUGUUGCAAGAUCACUUGGAAAGAAAGUAUAGGUCUGCAUCCAUCUAUCAAAUCUGACUUUGUCAUAGUAAGUAUAAGCCUUGACAUUGCCAUCAGUUUCAAGCCUCAGAAAAGAGUACGUUGCAUUGUAAUUUAUUUUACUGAGUUGUUGAAUCCCAUCAACCUGUGGUUUUGGUGCUGGCGAUUCGAAUAUUUCAAAGAUAAGGUUCCAAGCUAUUGGAGUAGGCUCCCACGUCGAAGGUUGGGUGUUAAACCUUACGGUACUUCCAAAAUUCCCCGGCCAACCAUUGUAGCGAACUUGUUGGCCAGCGUUGUUUAGAUACAAGAGGAGGCCAUCAUCUCCAAGCACUAAGCUGUACUUUCCAUCGGAGCCAUCAACAUCAGAAGUUCGACUGACAAGCUUGUUUACGCCACUCUCGCGAAGGGACUGCCCAACUAGUAACGAAUCAACUGGAUAAUCAAAGCUUUGCCAAAUGAACUUUCCCUUUUUAUCAUACAGCACAAG